Long non-coding RNA from Phacochoerus africanus (Common warthog), 3094 nucleotides. RefSeq lists it as uncharacterized. NCBI's taxonomy places the organism in Eukaryota, Metazoa, Chordata, Mammalia, Artiodactyla, Suidae. The record is from RefSeq and is a predicted model, not a curated record. The transcript is spliced from 5 exons.
GCCAGGGACAGCGGGCCAGAACUAUAGCCGACGAGAUGCGGGUCCCGCGGCAGCCGCGCUCGCGUCCAGGCGCCGGGCCCGGGCGAGCCUCGAGCCCGGACCUGACCCCGCCGUGACCGGCGCAGAGACACGGGGCGCAAUUUGAAAUGAGCUUCACGAAGUUGUCGUUGAGCGCGAUGCCAGCCUUAGCAUCGAAGAUGGACGAGUGGGUAUCGCUAACAAAGUCCGUGGACACGACCUGAGCGUCAGAAUUUCAAAGACAUAUGGAGCGCAGAGCUAGGACCUCCAGGAGCUCAGGCUUCUGGGCACAUUACCCAUUCAUUCAUCUACAGUCUUCGAUGGAGCCCUUCUGCGUGGGGAUAGGGUACAAGGAAGACAUGCGGGAGCUUUGCAGGUGGGGGACUGGCCGAAGGAUACAGACGGCAAACACCCUGAUGCCGCACCAAUAGACAUUUUCUGGCACACUGCACUUGGAAUGGCUCAGCCAGGAGGCCCUCCCUGAGGGGAGGUGGUGAGUCAGGCGCUGGACGACUAGGAGAAUCUGGCUAACUCCAGCUCUCAGCAGGGUGGAAGGAGCUGCAGCACAGAGCCCUGGGGGUUUGGCCUUGAGCAGCAGGGUGAUGUGAUCUGAUUUUUCUAAGAGGUCCUGGUGAAGGUGGACCUUCAGGAGCUAAAGCAGGGAGACAGCAUCAAGCAGGGAUGACACCAGGAGCAAAGGGUUGGUGCUAUCCAUUCCUCACAGGGAAGGUAUCUGGCCAUGGCCUGCUCUGAGCAGCCUUGAACAGUGGGAGUUCUUGUCUUGUUCACUGAGCAUGAAUUGAGCACCUGCUGUGUGCCACGCCCUAGGAGGACAGCUGGAGCUACAGAAGUGAAGAGUCCCCAGGUCCCCGCUUUCUUGGAGUGCACAUGCCAGCACGGCCAACAGUGACUAUGAAAUGACAUUUCAGACACACACUUGUGCUCCCAUACGGCAUUUAAGACACCUGCGCUUGAAGCUGAACUACCUGAGCUACAGGUUGCCACAGACCCUGUGGCCUGAGGCUGGGCUGUGUGUGUUUGCAGUAGCAUUACGAGUUCAUAAAGGGUGGGGUACAUGGGCUGGAGGAGAGCUCCUGAGCUGAGAAGGACAUGCUCAGCGAAGGAGCUUCAGUGAUGAAGCAUCACCGGGUAGGUGACAGGUACCAGCGGGCUCUCUACCAAUUUCAGUGAGACUCCCAUUUCCUGGUUGCCACCACGGGCUAGGUGCUGAGCCGAGCAAUUCAGUGCAUCAGCUCACUGUAUCCUGUGAGACAUGAGCUAUAUACUCAUUUCACAGAGGGAGACCGAGGCCCGAGAUCACUGAGGGAGUGAUGAGCACGGAGGGGGUUCAAGGCCUACAGCAGUCAACCUGCCUGCCGCAGUGUCUUCUGGACCCUGGAGCCCCGCCCCACCCAAGCCAUGUCCACCCCCAGCCCCCUGGCUGGCCCCUGCCUCACCCCGCUGGUGAGGAGGCCAAAAGUGAACCCAGAGCCCCUCUGGAAGGCCUGGGAUCGGCUGGCUGGAUUGUGUGCGCGCACCUCUGGCCGGGGGAGGUAGGGCUGCCCAAUGGCAGUGAGCGGGGACUCCGAGUCCAUGCUCCACUAUUCCCGUGCUGAAACCCAGGGGCCUGCUUUGUGUUCUCUUACCUCUGUAAAAUGGGGACACUAAGCACUGGCCUCAAAGGUGGUUGGGAGGCUUCGCUGAGCGCAUGCCUGUAAAGUGCUCCGCUGGGGCCUGGAGGGCGCAGGUGUCCUCGCUUUGUGCCAUCCAGGCAGGACAAAGUCCACCAACCCCCAAGCGGCCCUUUGGCGCUGGCCCACAGCAGCGUCACUUUCGUGUGAAACCUCACCCGCCGAGGUUCUUCAACAACCAGCGGCUGCCCUCAGAGGUGUCUCCUCGCAACCCGGCUCAGGCCUCUGUCCAGCCCAUUUCUCCCCUCCACUACUGGUGCAAUGCCUGGGGUGGGCGUCCCAGUCCCCUCCACCAUCGCCAUAGAAACCACUUUGCCAGCAAGCCGGAUGGUAAGGAGGGUGGGGCUGGAGGGAGCGAGGGCAUUGCCCCCGAUGGAGGAGCCCCUGCCAGCCCGCGCUAACCCACCCCGCGCCUCCCGCCCCGCUCCUGGUCGUCGCUAUUGGUGCGACGCUUGCCGGCAGGGGCUCGGACCCUGAGCAGGAGCUCCCCGACCGCCCCUCUUUCCCCUCCCCCAGGUCGCUCGCUGCCUCCCUCACCCGGGCAAGGCUGUCGCAGCAGCUGGACAACGGUGACAUUGGUGAAGACGAUGUCGCGUUUAGCCAUGGCCUCCUAAGGUUUCAUGCCCUGUCAGCCGCCCCAGCACCCGCCGCGAUGUUACUGUGAGCUGGGGGCUCAAAGGCUGGAGAGGCUAGAGCUUCUUACCAUGAAGUCACAAAGCCUAGUGACGUCACAGAGGCGGCGGUGCGGAGGCCGCAUUCUAGUCGAGGCACGUGACAUCCACCCCCUGUGUACCACCGUUCCAAGUCCAUCAAUAGCGUCUGGAAUGGAAUCCAACACUUUACACUGAUCUUCAGAAUGCUUUUUCUCUUCUUUUAUCUCCUUGGGCACACUGGCGCCAUGCCAUUCCCCACCCUCCUCUGGAUAGUUACCGUAGCUAUUUCAUUCUGCCUGGAAGCCCUGCCCAGGUCUUCCCUUUGCUGCCUCUUGGUUUCCCUCCAGUGCCGCCCUCUAAGAAAAGCCCUCCUGACUCCCCAGCUCAUGUUCUCUCUCAGUUACUUUCCGCCCUUCACUCCACUCCCUACAUCUGUCAUCUUCCAGGAAGCCUGGUCCGGCUCCCAUCCUGGGUUAAAUACUCCGAUAUGCAGAAAUACUCUAGGGUUACAGCCGGCAUGUUAAUUUUCCUCACAGCUCCUGUCCCUCUUCAUUGGUUUUCUUGCGGCUUGUCUCUGCCCACUAGAGUGCUUGUCUGCCUUUGUCACUUUCGUACCCCAUUGACUGGAAGAAUGUUUGGCACUUGAAAUGUGCUUGCUCAAUGACUAAUUACCAGAAUGAAUGAAUAAAUGUCACCUCCUGAGGUUUCUUCCGAGCCCCAGUCUUAGAGCAA